RNAcentral lists this non-coding RNA (636 nucleotides) under plant metagenome. Its description in RNAcentral is "partial contains small subunit ribosomal RNA and internal transcribed spacer 1". The stretch from base 40 to 408 matches the Rfam family "Group I catalytic intron". Rfam says of the family: Group I catalytic introns are large self-splicing ribozymes. They catalyse their own excision from mRNA, tRNA and rRNA precursors in a wide range of organisms. The record is from RNAcentral.
AAGUCGUAACAAGGUUUCCCUAGAAUAAGUCUUGGAACAGAUCAGUCUUGAUCCUUCCGUGGUGACACUUAUAGAAGCCUAUGUGACCUUGCCAGAGGUACCCCACGACUCUAAACAAUGGUGGCUCACACAAGUUAGCGCCUAGCGCUGGCAACAUGAUCGAAUUGACGGGGACACCCUAAAGCCUGCAACACUAACUCCCUGUGGAAACACGCGGAGGGCUCAUGGUAACAACAUGAGGAGUAAGAGAGUGCAGCGAUGAACCUAGGUCUUCCUAGGGGAAAUGGGCAAUCCGCAGCGAAGCUCCUACGGCUACUAGCUACGGAGAACGUUCACAGACUAAGUGGUUGUGGGUAGGGCCUCUAGGCUCUGCUUAAGAUAUAGUCGGGCCCCUCGAGAAAUCGAGGGGGUAAGUCAUUACACAGUAAACCGGUUCCGUAGGUGAACCUGCGGAAGGAUCAUUACAGAGUUCAUGCCCUUCGGGGUAGACCUCCCACCCUUGUGUAUUUAUACCUUUGUUGCUUUGGUAGGUCCGUUGGGCUUCGGCCUGGCUACUGGCUCCGGCUGGUGAGUGCCUACCAGAGGAUACUAAACUCUGAAUGUUAGUGUCGUCUGAGUACUAUAUAAUAGUUAAAA